RNAcentral lists this long non-coding RNA (4531 nucleotides) under Medicago truncatula (barrel medic). RNAcentral describes it as "long non-coding RNA (MTRU_LNC002084)". Lineage: Eukaryota; Viridiplantae; Streptophyta; Magnoliopsida; Fabales; Fabaceae. The record is from RNAcentral.
GCAUUGAUUUCCAACUUGGAGGCUACUUCCUAGAUAGAGUCACAAAAAGCAUAGAACAGUCCAAACAAAAGGUAGUUAAGAGAAUUAUGAGUGCAAUUUUUCUUUUUUGAAUAAAAGAAUUAUGAAUGCAAGUGAUAAACAACAAUCAUGCAUCAAUGAGGAUUACAUAACAUAUUAUUAUUGGUCACAUAUUAAUGUCACUUGUUUAUAUUUAUGAUCAAUAAUGUUAUUAUUUUAAGUUUGCUUGAAACCCUACAUGAAUUUUUUUAUUUAGAUUAGUUUAGAUAAUAAGCAUGGUGAUGUGUAUAAACACAGCCCACAAAGUGGGGUUUGAAAUCCAAAAUAAACAGUUUCUUCCAUAAGAGCCUCUCCACCCAUCAAAAAAAUUGGAAUAUUGGCUUUGAUUUCCAACUUGGAGGCAAUUGAACCAGAAAAUUCACAAAUUAUUGAAACAAAAGGUGGUUACUUAGUUAGCACUUAUACAUAGAAUUUGUCCCUUGAAACCACUCAAAAAGGAUGAUAAAAGAUAUUAUUUUAGGCCACAUAUUGAUAUGAUCUACAAAGUUAAUAAUGCCAUUAUUAUAUAGUUUAAGGCUCCAAACUAGUCUUAGUAAUACCAUGCUUUUGCUUGCUGAUAAAAACACAGUUCAUGUGACCUCAAAGUGGGGUUUGGAAUCAGAAAAUAAACAAUUUGUGAAUAUUGUUGGAGAACAUUGCAUGUGCUGCAAACUAGAGGCUCCAUCUCCAAUAUAGAAAUAGAUGUCUGAAACUAACAUGUUAGACCAUUUAUGGUUCGGAUCAGGAAGGAAAUUAAACUGUUACAAAAAUUUGGUAAAACUGAAAUUCAAAUGUUUGUCGCAAACCGGACUGGUAUAUAUGUUCAGUGCACCAUUUCUUUGGUCAUGAACCAAAUCAGAAUUACCUUCACAGAAAACCGAACUGUGACAAUUAGUCCACAAACUGAAAUUUUAGUUCGUUGGUUUUGCGUUGUUUUUAACAGUCCUACUAAAACAUGUCAGACACUAGACACGCUUUCAAUUUCAAAUGUCGGUGUUGCAUAGAUAAUGGUAUAUGGAAUAAAUAAUUUUUAAAAAACACAGAGGAAAAAGGAAGACCUUCCCCUCCAUAGACUAUAAAAAAUACCUUAACUUCGUCCACAUCCACCUUCAGAAAGAGGACAUCUUGAUAGGUCGAUGCCAAUUCUUCAAAGAAAGGGUCCAUAGCUAUAGAAGGCACGCACCAAUAAGCAGAAAAAUGAACCAUAACCUGCAAAUAUUUUAUGAACAAAAUAAAAGAGCUAUUAUUAAUAUAACUAUAUAGAUUAAUGCUAUAUGAAGCUGAAGCCAUAAACAACCAAUUGUUAUAAUUUUACAUGCAAACAAACUGAUUAAUAAUUAAAUAAAUCACCAUAAAAUUGAUGAGACUUACAGGGUAACCUUUAUUGGUAGCUUCAAAGAUGUGGUGUUCCCAUGAUUUCCUUGAGUCAAUUUUCACAACUUUAGACUUUUUGUGCUGUUGUUGACCACCCAUUAUUUUCUACUUCUUCAAAAGGGUGUUAUGUGUGUGUGUGUAUAUAUACACACAAUCUAGAUAGAUAUAUAUGAGUCCUACACACACAGACUAUAUAUACUGUAGAAAUAAGACAAGAAUUGAAUUGACUACGAUAUAACCAAUCUUAUCUAGCUGGGGCCAUUAUGUUACCAAUUCUUCAGCUAUGCUCAUGUGGUUCGUGCACCAAAUUAAGUUACAAUUAGACAGACGCAUUUGUCAUAUAUUCAUAAUAAUAAUUUGAAAAAGAAACAAAGAAUGUUCAAAUUAAAGAACUCUUCUUGCUAGUUGUCAGAUUUGUUCAAUAUGACUCAUGUUAUGUUAUGUCGACAUGCAAAAACACAAAAAAUUGGCAACUUCUAGUUUCAUGUCAGUUUUGUUAUUUUGUGUGUUGUGGAGAAUGGACCAUAUAAACAUUUUCAUCUAGUUUACAAUUUUGAGGAUUUCUUUUUCCUUUUGUUUAACAUAUGAUAUGAUAGGAACAAGUGAUAAGCAAAGAAUCUAUUCUAGUAUUUUACUUUUUAUACGCUAAAAACUGCCUACAAAAUCUUGAACCAUAAGGUUUCUUAUUCCUAUGAGGAACUAACAGUUUUGGAUAAAGAUCAUAUCAUAUAAUGUCAUUUUCAUAUUCAAAAUCUCUUGAUUUCUUAUAAUAUCAUCAUCACAUUGACUGCCAAGUAGCACAUUUUGCACUGUGUAGGCCAUCCUUGUGUUGUGUUUUGGGUCUGCAUAUCAUAUCAUUAUACAUACCAUUAAUCAAUCUUAUCCCCGCCCUUUGAAAGUUGAAAUGGGUGUAUUUGCUCCAUCUAAUUAUUCAAUGAAUCUAAAAGUGAAAUCGAGUAAUUUGCACGUCAUUUUAAAUUUUAGGGUAACAUGAUAUUCCUAUGUCUUGCUCUAGGCCUCUAGCAGUAUUUGUUUGGUGUCCAAUCCAAAGUCAAAGUUUUAAAUUGCAGUUCCAAUUGCAUGAACUCACGUUACUCUUGAUAUUAAAGAAAAAUUGAAAUAAAUAUAACUUGAUGUACACUCAAUUGCUACCGUGAUGUGACUGGGGAUAUUGAGAAAUUUUUAUAUUAGUAACUCAAUUUGCCGUUAUGAACCAACCAUACUCAAGGUUGUGGAAACCACAAUUUAAAAUCAGUGAGCAACAUUCAUAUAUUAAUUAAUAACAUCAUUGCUAAUAAAAUUGUUUUCUAAGAUCUGAAGUCUGAACUAUCUCAUCCAAACAGCUAUAGCUUAUAAGAGAUUAGAUAAGCAUGAAGUCGAAUCAUAAUAAAAAAGAAAAGAUAACUACGGAAUUGGCAGUCAAAGAAUAAGUGUAUAUGUAUGAUGCUUUUUUCUUUUUUUUUUAAUUUUAAUAUUAAAGAAACAUCUGAUGCAUAUUUUCUAAUACAACUUGAGUUGUUUCAAUUUGCUGCUUAACUGUGAUCUUAUCCUUUUUGUCAAUAAAAACUGUGACCUUAUCCAAUCAAUCAUUGGAAGUGACAAAAUAUUCCUAGGAUUAGUCUUUCUUUUUCCAGUUUUUGAAUCCUUGGUUUAUUUAUUUGAGGUCAAACAUUUUUCAAGAUCAUUGGAUUUUGAUAUUUUGAGAAUGAAUUGAUUUUUUCAAGAUCAUACACAAAUUCCUUUUCAAUUUAUAUAAGAGAAAUGUUGUAAAAUAAAUACAUAGCAUUGAGCAGAAUAACAAAUUGAACUAUUAGAAUGGCUUUUCAACUAAAUAAUAUACUCAAUAACUUCAUAUACAAGCUACAAGCCGUUGUUAGAAUUAAUCAAACUCAUUUUCAUUUUUAUUGUGGUACUCACUCAUGCACUUGACUGCCACAAAUGGUUAAAAAAAUAUACAUCUUUGUUUCUGAAGAUCAGAAAUAGCUCAAACGAGAGUCAGUAGCACGGCCAUUGGUCUGACGACGAGGUGUUCCAAUCUCACAAGCAUUUACUCUCGAAGCAAACCGGAGUGAGCAUAGUGACUCGCCAACUGAAGAAGGAUCAGGUGAGAUGUUUACAAACAUUAACGUCUUUGAGUCUCCGCCAAGACAAGGCUGUUUAAUCAUCAUUAUAUUUGCGACGUUAGAUCACGUUCAAUGAUUCAAAGCCAAUAACAAAGAAAUCAUCAAUGUAGUGUAAAGUUUAAGAAAUGCCAUGUGAGAGAAUGAUGAUUACUUGAAGAAGAUAUGUAAGCUUUGAGUUCCUGAAUGGCACAUGAUCUUCCUUCUUGGCCAAGGCAAAUAUGACAUCACUCAAUGAUGACAAGCUUUUGUUAAUUGCCUGAUUACAAAUGAAAACUGAAGUUAAAACUAUUUUGAAAUAAAAUAAGCAUAGAUGGAAUAGAAAAUACCAUGGCUUUACAUACCUGAGUUUCUCUCAACCGGUCACCGGUUGAACCACUCUUUGAAAGACGCUCGCUACCAGCAAGGUCAAUUAGAUUCAGAACACCUUGUACUUGUUGGUCAGUACUCUGGCAGAGAAAUAAUUUAGGUUGAAUUAUGAUGCAUGUCAUUGUUGUGAUUAUGGAAGAUUGAGGGAAUGUAGAAUAGAUAUAAAAUGCAGUUUUGACUAUUAUCUUAAGAGAAACAUGAAUACCUCAUUUACACCAUAUAUUCGAAGGGUGAACACGAAAUGACUUCUUGAUGAUUGUUCAUUCAUCUGAGUUUUUCCCACAGAUCUAAGAGGCAAUAACCAGAAUAAUCAAUACAAUUAAAUUCUACAUGAAAAUGUUAAAGUUUUGUAAUUUCUAUGAGAAAGCCAACAUUUUGUUGCACCAAAAUCAUAUCAAAUUAUGUUUUACUAAACCAGUUUGUCCCUCUUAAUUUAAUAAAAAUAUAUCUCCUAAAAAUGUAGCUAUCUAAUUCUAGUUAUAAAAUGGCAAGUUCAUCAUUUGCAUUUUCCAGUGUCUUAACAAUAGUUACCUGCUAUUUGCAGCUUGAUUUAAAAGAAACGCGACCUCUUUCGCACUGUGAACAUCCACUACUGUAAGAUCAGAAACAUG